AUGGAGGACGGAGGCCUGCGCGCGAGCAUUCUCGUCAAGGAUGGUGCAACAUGCCAUGGUGAAGAAUCACAGUCUCUACUGGAAGUAUCUCAACACCCAGAGCUUAAACCUAGAGGUUCUGACUGGAGACCACCUGCAAUCAUUCUUGGACUUGAAUGCUUGGAGAGUAUGGCUUUCAAUGGCAUCGCCACAAACCUAGUUGUGUAUAUCCGCUCAGUUCUCCAUGGUGGCAUUGCCUCAAGUGCUUCAAUUGUUUCUCUUUGGUAUGGGACUAGCUUCUUUGUGCCUAUACUUGGAGCAGGCAUAGCGGAUGCUUACUGGGGAAAUUACAAGACUGUCUUGAUCUCCCUUGUUAUGUACCUACUUGGCAUGGUACUCAUUACAGUUGGAUCAUUUAUACCUUCUGCUCCAGCCUUAUGCAACUUAGGCUCAUGCUCGUCAUCAAAAGGAACUGAGAAUCUAAUUUUCUUCUCGGGUUUGUAUCUAUCUGCUGUUGGUUGUGGAGGAGUAAGGUCCGCAUUGCUUCCACUUGGGGCAGACCAAUUCAACAAUGAGAACAGUCUAGAUACGCCAAAGAGGAGGAAUUUCUUCAGUUUGUUUUAUAUCUGUGUCAUCUUUGGUGUGAUUACUUCUGGCACCAUUGUAGUCUGGGUUCAGGAAAAUGUGAGCUGGGCUAUAGGAUAUGGUAUUGCUACAACAUGCAUAGCUCUGGCUUUGGUAGGCUUUGUGGCCGGAACACCAAUAUUCCGGCGGCGUGAGCCUAGUGGUUCCCCAAUGAAGAGUAUUUUCCAGGUUACUUUUGCUGCUUUUAAGAACAUGAGCUUAGAAAUCCCUGCCGAUAGCUCUCUUCUUUAUGAGGCCAGGAGCAAGAACACACACAAGAGAGGACCGAGAUUAGCUCAUACUGAUGAUUUCAGGUUCUUGGAUAAGGCAGCCGUUAUUUCUGAUCUUCCCUUUGACAACAGCAGUUGCCAAAGUUCUUGGAGGAUCUGUACUGUAACUCAAGUCGAGGAAUUGAAAAUACUAAUCCGACUGCUUCCAAUUUGGGCGACUGGAGUAUUCUUUGCUUCUGCAAUCUCACAAAUGCACACUACCUUCAUUCAGCAGGGAACCGUGAUGAACACCAAGAUUGGCUCGCUGUCCAUUCCACCAGCUUCCUUGUAUUCCUUUGAAGUGAUAUGUGUGACACUUUGGGUUCUUCUUAUGAACAAAGUCAUUGUACCAGCGACCAGGACAUUCUUCACAAGUGGAGCGGAGCUAACACAGUUGCAGAGGAUCGGGAUUGGCCGUUUCCUAAUGAUCUUUGCCAUGGCAAUGGCUGCUCUUUUAGAAGCAAAGAGGCUAGAGAGCGUCCAGCAUGGCAAUCCAUUAAGCAUCGUGUGGCAGCUGCCGCAGUACUUCGUCAUCGCUGGGGCAGAAUGCUUCGUCAUCAUUGCUCAGCUGGAGUUCUUCCAUGGCCAGGCACCUGACUCCAUGAAGAGCAUGUUGACGGCGUUUGCGUUGCUCACCACUGCUCUCGGCAACUACUUGAGCUCAGCUAUCAUCACCCUUAUUGCGAGGCUGACUAGGGAAUGGCAGAGCCCUGGAUGGAUACCUGAUGACCUGAACGAAGGGCACCUUGACUACUUCUACUGGUGCCUUACAGCCAUCUCAUUUGUGAAUUUUAUUGUCUAUGUCUAUUUUGCUAGUAAAUACAGAUUAAAGAAAAUUGUUAUUGAUGGCUAA
This 1725-nucleotide ribosomal RNA is filed under the name Triticum aestivum (bread wheat). RNAcentral's name for it is "partial small subunit ribosomal RNA". Lineage: Eukaryota; Viridiplantae; Streptophyta; Magnoliopsida; Poales; Poaceae. The record is from RNAcentral.